AAAAGUAAAUAAUAUUUAUUAAUAUUAUUAUUAUCAUCACCCUUUUUUGUUUGUGUUUAUGUAAUGAAAAGAGGCUCUCUGUUCUGCUAUACACUAAAUAGAGUGUGACAUUCCAAUUAAUCAUGAGAAAGUAAAUAAAAAAAUAUAUUAAAAAAAAAAAACAGCCGACACAGGAAUACUACUUUAAAUGCAGGUGAUUUAAUAAUAAUAAAAAAAAAUUAAAUAUUGUAAAAAAUAAAUAAACAUAUAUACUUAAUUACAGACAUGACAUUUUGACUAUUCAGCCAGAGGAGAAUUGUCCUUUGUUGCAGCCUGUUUUAUCCUAAGUUGUUUCUCUCUCUCUCUUCUAUUCAACGUCAAAUUGAGUUUUUCAGUCCUUGCCACAAUCGCCUUUGACCUGCAUACUAGGGAGCUCAAGAUAUGUUGUAUUAUGUAUGAUGCUUCUUAUAUAAGUAUUAUGGAAUGACUUUUAAUUAAACUGCUUAAAUGUGGGGUUAUAUGACCACAAUUUUAAAACCCAUAGUUUAUAUGUCUCAUAUAACUGUGGUAGUAAUACACAUUUGUUUGUCAUCAAACCAAAUUGUUAUAAAUUUAACCAAACCCUACAGAUUUCCAUAUCAUCAUAUCCAGAUUUAUCAACAUGCACAAACAGUGCACUCACAUAAACCGAUAUAAACUAUAUAAGAAACUGCUUAACUGUUUAUAUCCUCACCAUAAGUAAACAUUCCUAUCACCCAUCUUUCAUCUGCUAAAUGUGGACAUUUAGGCAUUAAGGUAUAACAUUAAUGUUAUGAAUUUCUGUAAAUAUGCUUUGAUAGAAUGUGAAUGUGAAUUGAGAAAAGCGCUAUACAAAUAAAACAGACAUGACACAACACAUUAAAAACGUGUUCUAUUUUGAACAACUGAAUUCAUUAAAUUUGGCUGUAAUAGCCUGCCAUUGACAGUAUUAUACAUACAAACACAGCAGUAGUUGUAACAUCUACAUAAUUGCUAAAAUUCUGCAAGUACACAUUUAACCUCUUUUCCCACAUGCAGGACUGAAAUACAUAUUUAAUAAAGCCAGAGGGAUAGAUUCGUAAUGUGUCUCCUCUGCAAGAAAUUUCUUUUGAGUCCAAACAAACACACACACACACACACACACACACGUUUUAACUGCUACCCUGCAGUCAGUAGGGCCUCCCUCCAAGGGCUGUCCUGAUCUGCUCUCGUUCCUGAGCGGUUGGCAUAUCAGGCUUCACUCCGUCACGCCUACGCUGCAGCAUCACACCAUGCUGAGAAUGUGAAAUGGGAUGAAAUAAAUGGGGAUGAAUCAAACUCAGCAGGGGAGCCCAUCCUCCUAAAAACAACAAAAGAGUUUGGUAAACAUCUGUUUGAUUUAGACUAUACUGUGGUUUUUUACUUUUGGUAAAGUGGAUCAAAAUAUGACAUGUUCUGCUCAGGGUCAUAUACAAUUUUAUUUCAUUAUUAUUUUUAAUUAAUAAUAAUGCUCUCAAUUAGCAAAUCUUAGUCAACAGCAACAGGUCAGGGUUUGGCCGAUC
Cyprinus carpio carpio is the source of this 1538-nucleotide long non-coding RNA. Lineage: Eukaryota; Metazoa; Chordata; Actinopteri; Cypriniformes; Cyprinidae. The record is from Ensembl.